This 487-nucleotide ribosomal RNA is filed under the name uncultured Turicibacter sp. Its description in RNAcentral is "partial 16S ribosomal RNA". The record is from RNAcentral. Lineage: Bacteria; Bacillati; Bacillota; Erysipelotrichia; Erysipelotrichales; Turicibacteraceae.
CACGCAGUUAGCCGUGGCUUUCUCAUAAGGUACCGUCAAUUGAUAGUCAUUUCCUCCUAUCACCUUUCUUCCCUUAUAACAGAAUUUUACAACCCGAAGGCCUUCUUCAUUCACGCGGCGUUGCUCGGUCAGGCUUUCGCCCAUUGCCGAAGAUUCCCUACUGCUGCCUCCCGUAGGAGUCUGGGCCGUGUCUCAGUCCCAGUGUGGCCGUUCACCCUCUCAGGUCGGCUACGCAUCGUCGCCUUGGUAGGCCUUUACCCCACCAACUAGCUAAUGCGCCGCAGGCUCAUCCAUCAGUGAUGCCAGGAGCAUCUUUAAACUUUCGUCCUAUCCGGUAUUAGCGAUCGUUUCCAAUCGUUGUCCCCGUCUGAUGGGCAGAUCACCUACGUGUUACUCACCCGUUCGCCGCUUCCCACCGAAGUGGUUCGCUCGACUUGCAUGUAUUAGGCACGCCGCCAGCGUUCAUCCUGAGCCAGGAUCAAACUCU